GUGGCUCCACACGGGCACUGGGAGGGGGUAGGCAACCUCCCCUGCUUGCUGAACCUGGUUUUAGAGGAGGGGCUGGGAACUGGGUGACCCUCUUUUGACAGACCCCUGUUUGGGAGUUUGGCGAGGUUCCACACGGUAGUGCUAACCCCGCCUUCAGACCUCAAGCCCUGUUUUUGCUGGUCGUGAGAAUAGCUUCAUUAUCUCUUAGAACAAAUUGCAUCUCUGAAUUACUGUGAAACUAUGGGCCACUUUGCACAUAAUGGCAAACAAGGGUCCCAAAGACACACAGUUUCCCUCCACACACACACACACCGCAUGCUCCCAGUCAAUCACAAUCCCAGGAGGCAGGGACUGGCUGCGCAGGCUUCCUCUAACCCUGCAAAGACAGCCCGUACCAGCCAGUGUGAGGGAAGCCUGUGAGAGGAGGUUUGGGGUAAAAUCUCAAUCCAGAUGACACAGAGGAAGGAAUGGACCCUUGGCUGGGUGAAUGAAACUCACUACAGACUGAGGGUUCAUUCUGAGUUUUGGCAGUGAAUUCAGAACUGUGGUUGGAUCCAGGAACCAUGGUUCCAAUCGUUUGGACAACACAGCAAGUGAGCCUGAGGAAACUUCUCUGCCUGCUGUCAACCUUUUCAGACUUGAAAAGAAAUAAGCCAAAUGGACUUGAAGGCUCCUCCAUCUCCCUGAAUGAAAGCUUGCUGAUUGCCCACACUUCUCUCCACAUUCAUUGCCUUCCACCGCCACUAUAUUAUAUGGCUAAUGCUGAUGGUGGAAAAUCCUCUUUGACAGCUAACAGUGAAUUUCUCCCAUUCUUUUAUCAUUACAUACACAUUUCUCUGUGUUUCAUUGGUGACUGGAAUGACUGAGCCAGAUGGGCAACACUGCAAGCUCCACAUCCUUUUUAAUCAACAUGGAUGGCAUAGGUCAAGGUGGCUUCGCUUAUUAGUGACAUCAAGAUAGCACUGGUAAAAUGGCAUGCAAUGUCUCUUGCUGGAUAAUCUACUAAGGCUGGUGUGGUGAUGACUUUGGAAGAGGUCAUCCAAUGGGUACAAAGCUGAUUACAUGUUGGAAUGUUGAUGCAUCAAAGCAACACUGAAUGUCCCCCCCUGCUGCUUUUUCCUACCCUUUGUAGAUUUAGGUUCAUCUGUCUGUCCCUGUGCAAAGAGGCACUUUGUAAAGCAAUGGCUGUCAUAUUUAGCAUGGGGAGGAAAACUGUCUCUGUUCAACCCAGUAAAGCAUCC
Molecule: long non-coding RNA, 1241 nt
Organism: Hemicordylus capensis (graceful crag lizard)
Lineage: Eukaryota; Metazoa; Chordata; Lepidosauria; Squamata; Cordylidae
Exons: 3
Source: RefSeq, a predicted model, not a curated record